AAUUAGUUUUUUAAUUGAGAAAUAGAAUGAAUGGUAUCACUAAGAUAUCUUUUUUAGGACAUAUUUUGAAAUUUUAGUUUAAGUGAAAAUACUUAAGAACUUUUUUUAGACGAGAAGACCCUAUGAAGCUGGUAGAUAUUAAAUAUAAUUAUUUAUCUUAGUAAAAAUCUAUUUUUUGGGGUAAAAAUUAAAAUUAUUAUUUAAAUAUAUAUAUAUAAAAUGAGCCUCUUGGAAUAAUAAAGAAGCUCCUCUAGGGAUAACAGCAUUAUACCUAUAAGAGUUCUUAUCAGAAUAGGUGU
RNAcentral lists this ribosomal RNA (299 nucleotides) under Neocalanus cristatus. Its description in RNAcentral is "partial 16S rRNA". Lineage: Eukaryota; Metazoa; Arthropoda; Copepoda; Calanoida; Calanidae. The record is from RNAcentral.